CGAACGGGUGAGUAACGCGUGGGGAAGUCUGCCUUUGAGCGGGGGACAACAUUUGGAAACGAAUGCUAAUACCGCAUAAAAACUUUAAACACAAGUUUAAGUUUGAAAGAUGCAAUUGCAUCACUCAAAGAUGAUCCCGCGUUGUAUUAGCUAGUUGGUGAGGUAAAGGCUCACCAAGGCGAUGAUACAUAGCCGACCUGAGAGGGUGAUCGGCCACAUUGGGACUGAGACACGGCCCAAACUCCUACGGGAGGCAGCAUG
This 261-nucleotide ribosomal RNA is filed under the name uncultured bacterium. RNAcentral's name for it is "partial 16S ribosomal RNA". It matches the Rfam family "Bacterial small subunit ribosomal RNA", at positions 99 to 353 of the family's 1533-position model. The record is from RNAcentral.